Molecule: long non-coding RNA, 550 nt
Organism: Oncorhynchus tshawytscha (Chinook salmon)
Lineage: Eukaryota; Metazoa; Chordata; Actinopteri; Salmoniformes; Salmonidae
Source: Ensembl
AGCUGAUAUCUCAAAGUGCUGUACAGAAACCCAGCCUAAAACCCCAAACAGCAAGCAAUGCAGGUGUAGAAGCACGGUGGCUAAGAAAAACUCCCUAGAAAGGCCAAAACCUAGGAAGAAACCUAGAGAGGAACCAGGCUAUGUGGGGUGGCCAGUCCUCUUCUGGCUGUGCCGGGUGGAGAUUAUAACAGAACAUGGCCAAGAUGUUCAAAUGUUCAUAAAUGACCAGCAUGGUCCAAUAAUAAUAAGGCAGAACAGUUGAAACUGGAGCAGCAGCACAGCCAGGUAGACUGGGGACAGCAAGGAGUCAUCAUGUCAGGUAGUCCUGGGGCAUGGUCCUAGGGCUCAGGUCCUCCGAGAGAGAGAAAGAAAGAGAGAAGGAGAGAAUUAGAGAACGCACACUUAGAUUCACACAGGACACCGAAUAGGACAGGAGAAGUACUCCAGAUAUAACAAACUGACCCCAGCCCCCCGACACAUAAACUACUGCAGCAUAAAUACUGGAGGCUGAGACAGGAGGGGUCAGGAGACACUGUGGCCCCAUCCGAGG